Molecule: ribosomal RNA, 253 nt
Filed under: uncultured bacterium
Lineage: Bacteria
Description: partial 16S ribosomal RNA
Rfam family: Bacterial small subunit ribosomal RNA
Source: RNAcentral
UACGUAGGGUGCGAGCGUUGUCCGGAAUUAUUGGGCGUAAAGAGCUUGUAGGCGGUUUGUCGCGUCUGCUGUGAAAAUCCGGGGCUCAACCCCGGACUUGCAGUGGGUACGGGCAGACUAGAGUGUGGUAGGGGAGACUGGAAUUCCUGGUGUAGCGGUGAAAUGCGCAGAUAUCAGGAGGAACACCGAUGGCGAAGGCAGGUCUCUGGGCCGAUACUGACGCUGAGGGGCGAAAGCGUGGGGAGCGAACAGG